UGAACAUUAACAUAUUGACUUUUGCCCAAAUGCCAGUUUGAAGUAACCAUCAAGGAUGAUACUGGUUCAACAACAGCCAUGAUUUCAGAUAAAAUUGGAGAAGAACUAUUGUCUCUAACUGUAGCAGAAAUUCAUGACAUACGUUGCACCAAGGUAAAACACUCUACAACCUCUUGUUUAUUCCUUAAAAAUCUAAUUACAUGAUUUCUUCCAUCUUUCAGAAACAAUUGUUGUCACUCGUAUCCCUGCAACACAAACUGCUAGGUAAGACAUUCACCGUCCAAAUAAAGAAGUUGUUUGCCAAAAACAAGGAUGCAUCUUCAGCAAAACUGUUUAUCAUGUCAAUCACCGAGAAAGAUAUUGCUAGCAAUAUGCCACUGCCCAUCAACGCACCAACAACUCCAGAAAGCAGUAAACGCAAGAUGAAGAAAAUCAUAAUAAAAGAAGACUAAAAGUGUAAUACUUUUUUGCAAUAUGGUUGGCAACACCAUUUUGUCUUGAUGGCGUACACUUUUGGUGCUGAUAGCAUGGACUUUGCUGCAUAGUUAUAAGAAAUUGACAGGUGCUUUCUGAAUGAUGCUGACUAAUAGUCAAAAUACAGCAUUAUGUAAAUAUUGUAGAUAUCCAACCUAAAUAACACAGCCAUGACAACGAACAAAACAACUGCCAAC
This is a long non-coding RNA of Solanum pennellii, 671 nucleotides long. RefSeq lists it as uncharacterized. The record is from RefSeq and is a predicted model, not a curated record. Lineage: Eukaryota; Viridiplantae; Streptophyta; Magnoliopsida; Solanales; Solanaceae. The transcript has 3 exons.